Molecule: ribosomal RNA, 253 nt
Filed under: uncultured bacterium
Lineage: Bacteria
Description: partial 16S ribosomal RNA
Rfam family: Bacterial small subunit ribosomal RNA
Source: RNAcentral
UACGUAGGGUGCGAGCGUUAAUCGGAAUUACUGGGCGUAAAGCGUGCGCAGGCGGCGCGUUAAGACAGGUGUGAAAGCCCCGAGCUUAACUUGGGAAUUGCGCUUGUGACUGGCGUGCUGGAGUGUGGCAGAGGGAGGUGGAAUUCCACGUGUAGCAGUGAAAUGCGUAGAGAUGUGGAGGAACACCGAUGGCGAAGGCAGCCUUCUGGGCCAACACUGACGCUCAUGCACGAAAGCGUGGGGAGCAAACAGG